RNAcentral lists this ribosomal RNA (301 nucleotides) under uncultured bacterium. RNAcentral's name for it is "partial 16S ribosomal RNA". It matches the Rfam family "Bacterial small subunit ribosomal RNA", at positions 509 to 807 of the family's 1533-position model. The record is from RNAcentral.
CAGCAGCCGCGGGAAUACGAAGGGUGCAAGCGUUACUCGGAAUUACUGGGCGUAAAGCGUGCGUAGGUGGUGGUUUAAGUCCGUUGUGAAAGCCCUGGGCUCAACCUGGGGAUUGCAGUGGAUACUGGGUCACUAGAGUGUGGUAGAGGAUAGUGGAAUUUCCGGUGUAGCAGUGAAAUGCGUAGAGAUCGGAAGGAACAUCUGUGGCGAAGGCGACUAUCUGGGCCAACACUGACACUGAGGCACGAAAGCGUGGGGAGCAAACAGGAUUAGAUACCCCCGUAGUCCCUGUCUCUUAUAC